GCUCAUGAAAAACUGUGAACAAUUUUGACCUGAAAACGUUGCAAGGAAAUGGAAUUUGAUCUGUCUAUGUGGGAAAGUUUCAGUAAGAGUGUAUUUAUACACUCUAAUACACCUUCAUUUAUUGCUUGUUUCAUUAAGAAACAUCUGUUUCUUAAUUUACUUCGUUUCGCUAUGAUAGAGAAUGAACUUUGUUGGUUCAUUUGGGAAUUUUGUUUCCUUGAAUUCACUUUUUGAUUCAUUGAUGUCUCUAAGCUACUUAUCUCAUCUUGUAUUCAUUCUGGCAGGCUGAUGGCUAGAUUUUUUUGUGGACUUUAGAUAUUAUAUAUCGAUACAGCAACAGUGAGUAUCACUUGAAAUUAAACCUUAUUUUACAAAUGUUUUGAUAUACCAAAAUAAUAACACACACAAAAAAAGUAGUCCGUAUAUAUAUUCACGGGAAAUUAAAUAUAUAUUCAAGAUUACACAACUAUGAUAAAGCACACAAUAUAUUAAAACUAGCAUAUGACUAGGAAGCAGACCCCAACGUGUAGGGAGAGAAAAUGGAGAGCAUUUUAUACCUUAGUCUUUCAGUCGAAGUCUUUGCUGCAAUUUGACUGUCUCCAAUGCCAUUGUCAAUCUGAUCCAAUCUUCUAGUUUAUUCACUAGCCGAAAGUAUUUAUGUCUCCAAGACCUGCUAAUAAUUAACGAACCGAAAACACCCCAAAAUCCAACAAGAAAUCCAACUGUCAUUCCAGUAAAAAACCUGUAAUAAAAACCCACAAAACAUUUGUUGCCAAGUUUUUACAUUUAUGAGGGAUGAAGGUACAUCAUUUGAAAAAACUUAUUGCUCCUCAAACUCACUGAUGGACCCUGCUCUAUCAAAUCCAUUGAGCUUGCUAUUAUUCCCAAUAAAUUAUCAUUUGAAAUACUAAUGAUUUAAUGUCGCUGUAGCUGUAGUCAGAAUUUCAAACCUCAUUAUAUAUGAUGAAGUUGGUCAGUAUGAAGCAAACACUCGACAGCAGGCAGGCCAUGAAGACCAAGCUAUGUAGGAGCUGCUGAUGCAAGCUUAUUUUGCUCAUUUUGUAAUUUCUAGUCAAUGAAAUGUAAUUUAGUUCAUUUAGAACUAUGUUAGGUAGAUGAUUGAUGUAAUUUUCUAUCAUAUGAGCUGUUAAUUCAACUUUGCUUGUAUGCACAAGUUAAUUACUUCAAGUUUCAAUGUUUAGUGGUGUUAGGUAACCAUUAGGUGAAUGUUUACUGUUUUUGACAAGCUUAGAGCUUGAUUUAUGUAUUGGCAUUUUGCCACUGUUAAUUCUAUGAAUGAAUCAAGUUUUGUUCAUCAAAUACUCUCCAUUUUUCUAGCUUUUUCUUUUUUUUCUUUUGCUCGAAUUUAUUUGUUUGCUCAGCAAGCAUCGAGGCUUGUUGCACAAGACACUUGCCGAGUCUGUUAUUUCUGUUAGUGCACCAAAAAUUGGUAUCUAGAGCCUAUUUCUUAAGGGACCUGGUAUUCAAUGAAUGGCUUCAUCAAACUUUUCACCAGCUACACCAUAAGUUUUCAAUGGGGAAGGCUAUCACAUAUGAGUGGUCAAAAUGAAGACCUACCUGCAGGCUUUCGAUCUGUGGGAGGUGGUCAACUUUGAUGUUGAACCAGAGCCACUUAGAGCUAAUCCAACAGUGGCUCAGAUAAGGCAGCAUGCUGAUGAGAGGACCAAGAGGCACAAGGCCAUGUCCUGCAUACAGAACUCAGUGUCAGAUGUGAUUUUCACAAGGAUUAUGGCUUGUGAAACACCAAAGCAGGCCUGGGAUAAGUUGAAAGAGGAGUUUCAAGGGACAGAGAGGACAAGGCAUCAACAGUUGUUAAAUUUAAUGAGAGAAUUCGAGAACUUGAAGAUGAAGGAAGAAGAAAGUGUCAAGCAAUAUUCUGACAGGAUUAUGGCUGUGGUAAACAGCAUAAGGCUCCUUGGUGAGCAGUUCAGUGAAGCUGGGAUAGUGGAGAAGGUGAUUUCAACAUUACCAGAGAGGUAUGAGGUAAAAAUCUCAUCUCUCGAAGACUUAAGGGACUUGACCAGUAUUCCCUUGACAGAGCUUAUCAAUGCUCUUUAUGCACAAGAGCAGAGAAGAGCUAGCAGACUGGAGGAGCACCAGGAAGGUGCCUUUUAGGCAAAAACCAAUACUGCCUAUAAAGGCAAGAAGACCUGGAAAAAUAGGCCUAAGCCUGAUGCUACAAGGGGCAAUGACCAACCUUGCAGGCAUUGCAAGAGGCCUAGUCAUCCAGAAGAAAAAUGUUGGUUCAAUCCAGAUGCUGUAUGCCAGUAUUGCAAAAAGAAGGGUCAUGCUGAAAGAGUCUGCAAAAGCAAGGCCAAAUCAAGGCAGAAUCAGUUUCAACAGAUGAAAGCUGAGGCUCGAGUAGCCAAGGAGGACAGUGACCAAGAGGAGUAAGUUUUUACUGUGUCAUGCUCAGCUGUACAGGAGAGGCUCUCAUCUGGUUGGCUUCUAGACAGUGGAUGCACCAAUCACAUGACACCUGAUGCUGCAAUCUUCAAAUCUUUAGACAGAAACUGCAGAACCAAAAUCAAAAUAGGUAAUGGCCACUUUAUUCAAGCUGAAGGCAAGGGUGAUGUGCUGAUAUGCACUCCCACAGGUGCCAAAGUGAUUUCAAAUGUGCUCCUGGUGCCUGAAAUUGACAGAAACCUGCUCAGUAUAGCUCAACUGCUGGAGAGAGGUUAUUCUGUGAUGUUCAAAGAUAACCAAUGCCAAAUCAGUGAUCCAAGUGGAUCCAAGCUGAUGGCAGUCCCUAUGACUGAUAAGAGCUUUGUAGUUGACUGGACAAUAGAGUCAGACACUGCCUACGCAGCUACAACAGUUGAAUCCAAGCUUUGGCAUUAAAGGCUUGGACAUGCCAAUUUCAGAUCAAUGGCUCAAAUGGUCAGAGAAGGAUUAGCUGAAAACUUCACCAACAUAGUGAAGCAUGAUGAUGUGUGUGAAGUAUGUCAGCUAGGCAAGCAGGCUAAACUUCCAUUUCCCUCAAAUCAAGCCUGGAGAGCCUCUGAAAGAUUGCAAUUGGUGCACACUGAUGUGUAUGGCCCCAUGAAGACUGAUUCAUUAAGUGGAAACAGGUAUUUCAUAUUGUUCAUUGAUGAUUUCUCGAGAUAUUGUUGGCUUUACUUCUUGAAACAGAAAUCAGAGGUGGCCUCUGUGUUUUGGAAGUUCAAAACUGCUGCUGAAAUUGAAACAGGUUGCAAGCUAAAGACCAUAAGGUCUGAUAAUGGGACUGAGUAUACCUCAGCUCAGUUCCAAGCCUUUUGUGAUAAGGCAGGCAUCAAAGAUCAACUUACCAACACUUAUACACCUCAGUCAAAUGGUGUGAGUGAAAGGAAGAAUAGGAGUUUGAUGGAUAUGGCUAGGUGCCUGGUGAUUCAGAAGAAACUGCCUAAAGCUCUAUGGGCAGAAGCAGUUAACACUACAACAUACAUUCAAAACAGGCUUCCAACCAAAGCUUUGGACCAGAAGACUCCAUUCGAGGCCUGGUUUGGAUUCAAACCAUCACUGGCUCAUCUGAAGGUCUUUGGAUGCAUCUGUUAUGCACAUGUACCUGCUGUUAAAAGGGACAAAUUGUCUGAAAGGGCUCGACCUGGUAUUCUGAUGGGCUACAGCACUGUCAAGAAGGGUUUUAGGAUCUUGGAUCCUUCAACAAACAAAUUGUCAGUCAGCAGGGAUGUGGUAUUUGAUGAAAGGUCAUGUUGGAACUGGGAAAGACAUGAACCUGAGGAAGUUUCAGAAGAACUUGCAGCAGAUCAAGCUGAGCCAGACCAAAAUGGUCCUGAAAUGGACAUUGAUGAUAAAACAGUCAGGGGAAUAAGACCAUUGACUGAGAUUUAUGAAAGGGCUCAUGUAGCCAUAGCUGAACCAAGCAACUUUGAAGAGGCUGAAGCUCAGCAAGGGUGGAAGCAGGUAAUGGCUGAGGAGAUCAGCAUGAUUGAGAAGAACCAGACCUAGAAAUUGGUUGAAAGGCCAGUCAAAAAGAAGGUAAUUGGGGUGAAAUGGGUGUACAAAGCCAAGCAAAAUGCUGAUGGAACCUUGAACAAACUAAAAGCAAGGCUAGUUGUCAAGGGGUUCAGUCAAAAAUAUGGCCUGGACUAUCUGGAGACCUUUGCACCAGUGGCCAGGCUUGACACCAUCAGACUGCUGAUUACCUUAGCAGCACAGCUCGAAUGGAAGAUCCAUCAACUAGAUGUGAAGUUAGCUUUUUUGAAUGGCUUCUUAGAUGAAGACAUUUAUGUUGAUCAACCACAAGGGUUUGAGAUAGUUGGCAAAGAGCACAUGGUCUAUAAACUGAAGAAGGCCCUAUAUGGCUUAAAACAGGCUCCAAGGGCCUGGUAUUCCAGAAUCGAUGGCUACUUGACUAAUUUGGGAUUUUUUCGAAGCAAGAGUGAACCAACACUGUAUGUCAAGAAGGAAGGGGCACAAACACAGCUCAUUGUGUCCCUAUAUGUUGAUGACCUGCUGGUGACAGGAGGAGAUCAAACAAUGCUGGUCAAUUUCAAGACCAAGAUGCAGGAGGUGUUUGAAAUGUCUGAUCUAGAGGAGAUGUCCUAUUUUCUUGGAAUGGAGGUGUCACAAACACAAAAUGGGAUAUUCCUAAGUCAGAAAAGCUUUGCCACAAAGAUUCUGACCAAGUUCUCCAUGCAGAACAACAAGGCAACUAAAACUCCUAUUGCUGUUAGAGAGAAACUAUCGAGCCAAGGUGAAUUUGAGAGAGUUUGUGAAACUACCUACAGAAGUCUAGUUGGUUGUUUGCUAUACUUAACUGCCACUAGGCCAGACAUAAUGUAUGCUGUAGGAUUGCUCUCAAGAUUCUUGCAUUGCUGCAAUGAGAAGCAUUUUCAGGCUGCAAAAAGAGUGCUCAGAUAUAUCAAAGGCACUUUAAGCUAUGGUUUGAAGUAUAGCAAGGAAGAAAAUCUGAAGCUGGUUGGCUAUACUGAUAGUGACUAGGCUGGCUCGAUAGAUGAUAUGAAAAGCACCUCAGGGUAUACUUUUAACCUUGGUUCAGCCAUGUUCUGCUGAAGCUCGAAGAAGCAAAGCCUGGUGGCUCAAUCUACUGCUGAAGCAGAGUAUGUGGCAGCAGCAAGUGCUGUCAACCAAGCCAUUUGGCUAAGGAAAAUCUUUGCCGAUUUGAAUGUACAUCAAAGAGAAGCAACAGAGAUCUUUUGUGACAACCAAUCUACUGUUGCAAUUGCUAAAAAUCUAGUGUUCCAUGGAAGAACAAAGCAUUUCAGCAUUAAAUUGCAUGUUGUUCGAGAAAUGGAGCAAGCACAAGAGAUGAAGCUAAUUCAUUGUAAUUUAGAGGAUCAACUUGCUGACUGUAACACCCCUUAACCCCGAACCGUCGUCGGAAUAGGGUUACGAGGCAUUACCGAAAGUAUCAAACAGUUUACAACAAAUCUGCCCAAUCGCGCAGCAGUUACUAAAUUACUUAUAAUUUUAGCUACGGAACUCAAAAUUUAAUUCCAUAAAUUUUCCCUGAAACUAGACUCGUAUAUCUUCCUACCAUAAAAAUUUCAUAAUUUUUGGUCCAGCCAAUUAGUACAGUUUAUUAGUUAAAGUAAGCCCUGUUUCACCAAUUGACUGCCCUGACCUCUUGUCACUAAAAAUAAAAUUUCUCAUUGUAGGAUUGUCAUAUGAAGUUAUUACUUGUUUCUAGAGAAAAUAGACUCAAUAAGGAUUCUAUACAUAUAAACUACAACUCAUAAUUAUUUUUUUACCAUUUUUAGUGAUUUUCUAAACUUAGAAUAGGGGACUCCAAAAACAGUUCUGACCCUGUCUCACUAAAAUUCACAUAUCUUAAAAUAUAAAAUUCUUUUUGCUAAACCGUUAUUUUUAUAUGAAAAUAGACUUAACAAGCUUUAAUUUAAUAUAUCAUUCACCCUCUAAUUCAUUUUAUACUAUCCUAGGUGAUUUUUCAAAGUUACGUCACUGUUGCUGCCUGAAUUCUGUUUCUUUGCAAAGUUUACCCUUUCUUGAUUUUCAUACUUAACCAUUUUAAAAGCCAAACAUUAUCACAUGCUCACACAUCUUUCUUUAGCAAUCUCAUAGAUACAACAUUCAAAAUGACUAAUCCCUAUACAUCACUUAGGUUUAUACAUUACCUAGGUACAUGUCACAUUAUCAACAGAAAGGUACAUCACUAAAAUGUCUCUGAGGUCGGGAUUACUUUGGAUGCUGGAUCGAACACUAGUUUUUUUACUAACCUGCGCACGGAAACAACCGUACGCUGAGUAUGGGUAUACUCAGUGGUAUUACCAUAAUUCAAAUUAAUAACAUUAAUCGAUAAAUUAUAAAUAUUUUAUUUAUGUCUACAAUUAUUCAUUAAUUAUCUCAUACAUUAAAUCAACUUGAUAAUUAAUAACAAUAAGCAAUAAUUCAAAUCUUAUAUUUAAUUGUAUUCAUACCUUAUUUCACUAUCUCAAUUCCGUGGGAUUUUUUCUUAUAGUUCAUUUCAAUUCAUAUACAAUUCAUUUCAUUUAAUUUAUAUUCAAUAUCAAUUUUAUUGCAAUUUUUACUCACUAAUAUCAUAUAACAAAAUUUACUCUUUAUCAUAUUAUGAACUUUGGGUUCAUAUAUUUAAAUCUCAUAUCUCGAUUUCCAAUUCACAUAUCAAUUCACAAUUUCACUUUCUCAUUUCUUUCCAUAUCCCAAUCAGUCACACUUAUUCAAAUUUUCUCAUUUCAAUUAUUUACCCCUAUUAACAAGACUCGGACCUUGGCGGAUACACGGAUCCAACCAAACACACCAGAAUGGCACCCAGUGCCUCAUCGGAUAGUUCGAAGCAAUAGUUGACACCCAGUGUCUCAUCGGCAAAGCCGAAGUAAGUUGGUACCCAGUACCUCAUCGAAUCUAUCCGAAGUAACAGUAUGACACCCAGUGUCUCAUCGACUCAAGGUCGAAGUAUCCCUGAACACUUCCAAUCCUAUGGCAUGCCAACUAUAUCCGACUCAGCCCGACUAGUUAAUAGGGUUUCCGAAUCACAUUUCAAUUCAAUCACUUUCUCAUACUUUCAAUUCAAAUCAUUCCAAUUUAAUCACCAUUUGAUUCAAUACAUUUUUCUAUUUCAAAUUCACUUCCCACUUUCAAAUCAAUGUACAGUUCAGUACCAAUACAUAUUUCACAAAUCAUACUUCGAUUCGAAUCAAACCACUUUUCAGUCAAUACUCAAUUCACGUAUUCACACUUAUUCAUAAUUUAAUUCACUUUUAUUCAAUUCAUAUUUUUAAUUCAUUCAAUUAAAUAUCGAUAUUCUCCUUAUUUUUAUUUACUAAACAUAUUAUUCAAAAUUCAACAAUUACUAUCAAUAAAUUCAAUAUCAAUACGUAUAUAUAUAUAUUUCAUUCGAUUCAAUCAUGAUACUCACCUCAAUUUUCUUAUCAUGUAUAUUAAUUUAAAUUUUAACGAUUAAUAAUUAAAUUCGAAUUAUGGUAAUACUAACCGGAAUUUCUCUCGAGUCACUUCUUGUCCACUUUCCCCUUUCCUUUCUCGGACAAUAACUCGUGCACGACAUUAGCUACGUAAUUAAACAAUUAAAAAUCAUUAAUACACAAUUUCAUUAAAACAUUUCCCGUAUACCUAAACUUUACCCAAAUUCUAAUUUAAUCCCUUAUCAAUACUAAUUUUAUUUUUCCAUUCUAACUCUAUAUUCUCUCUUAAUUCUUACUAUAAACUCAGUUUAAUUCUUCAAUUUCCCCAUAAAUCCCUAAUUUCGGGAUUCUUUCAAUUUAAUCCCUAUCAGUUCAAAACUUAUAUUUUAUUUUACAAAUCAAUCUUUUACUAACUUCUAACUUAAAAUUCAAUCAUUUUAACCUCUAGUUCAUCAAUUAAUUCAACAUAACUCAUGUCUAACAAUCUACUAACUUUCAAAAUAUCAACAUAAAUCAAGUAGUAUUUAUCUCUAGGAUUCCAAAAACUCAAAAAUUAUAAGAAAAAGACUUAAUUUGACUUACCAAUUGAGCUUGGAACCUUAAAACCUUAAAUUUCCCUUUUUCUUUUUCUUUCUUUCUUUCUUUCUUUCCUUCCUUCUCUGCCCGUUUUGCUCUCUGUUUCUUUCUCUGUUUCGUCUCUUCUAUUCUGUUUCUUUUCUUUCUUUUUCUAUUCUUUCUUUUGUUUUAUGUAUAUAUAUAAUAUAAUAUAAUAUAUUAAUAAUAAUAUAAUAUAAAAACAUAAUCAUUACUAUAAUAUAAGAAUAUUUUUUUAACACAUAAAAAUCUCAGAUUUUUAUACUUAUGCCGCCUCAACUUUGGAAAAAGGCAUAAUUGCCUAUUUGGUCCUUUUAACUUUUCUUUAAUCUAUAAUUAAACUUUUAUCCCUAUUGCAAUUUAAUCCUUUUUCAUAAUUAACUAUCGAAACGUUAAAAUUUCUUAACGAAACUUUAAUAUUAUCCUAUUGACACUCUGUAAAUAUUUAUAAAAAUAUUUACGGCUCAGUUUAUGAUAUCGAGGUCUCGAUACCUCGUUUUUGACCCAAUUUACCUAAUAAUUUCUUUUAAAUCACAAA
Molecule: long non-coding RNA, 8520 nt
Filed under: Gossypium barbadense (sea-island cotton)
Lineage: Eukaryota; Viridiplantae; Streptophyta; Magnoliopsida; Malvales; Malvaceae
Description: long non-coding RNA (GBAR_LNC017679)
Source: RNAcentral